CAUUAACUUUCCUCCCCGAAGUCGCUGCAAUGACGAAAAUUCCUAAAAGGAGACAAAGAUGAACAAUUCAAACGAAGAAAUAACUUACAGGAAAAUAAAUUACAUAUAUUAUUUUGUCAGUAUAAAACUGCAACAUUGAACCGCUGAACUACUGGAUUCACUUUAACUGUUGAAGGUAAGAGCAUUACCAACAUGGUCCUCGUGCUCAAGGUUGCCGUGAUCUGCCUAGCAUUGAUUGCUGAAGGUUACGCCCGUCCUUGUGGGGAUAAUCCCCUGCAGAUAGUCGAUCAGUACUCACAACUAAGAGGUAUUAAUGCGGCGGAUUUAAUGGUGCACCUACUGGAAACAUCUCCAUUCGACUAUCAUCGGUUGAGGAAGGACUAUAGUCAAUAUGUGGACUGUACCCGAGCCAUACAGAGUGGUUAUUACAAAAGGUCCGCCAAAAAGUCUUUAACUGAGGAAGAAGACAAUAUUAGACCAGUUGAUGAAGUUUAAUCGACAGUCGCAUCUCCAUAUUUUGACUUAUCGGGCAUGUCUGCAAGAUAUGAUUUGGAUUAUUAUAGCAACAAACAUUGAAUUUGCACACAAACCGCAUUUUCACACAUGAACAUUUCAAUUUUAGUAUCGAGAGGAUCCAGAGGUUGUGUUGCCCAUUGAAUUCGCACACAAACCUCUGGAUCCCCUCGAUACUGAAAAUGAAAUUUUGAGAAUUCAAAUGAUGAAGGUCCUAUAUCAGAACUAUGACGGUAUACAAAUGGCUCUUGUUAAUUGUGUUGCAACAGGAAGCUAUGACUCAAAAGUAAAGGAAAUUGAUCUACAUUAAGUUUACACAAUUUUAGUACAUACAAAUAGUUAAAGGUGGACUAAUUUAAAAGAGCAAUUUUAUCGACGACCUCAUCUACACUUAACGGACUUUUAAGUCCAAAUAAUAUGACUUUCGAAUGUAUUUUUGUACAUCUGCUGCAAAAUAUAACGUGGUAUCUCUUUUUACGCCAUUACAUGCUACUGUUUGGUAUUGUAAUAUGAUUAAUUUAUUAAUAAAAAAUAAACAUUA
This is an RNA transcript of Dreissena polymorpha, 1054 nucleotides long. RefSeq lists it as uncharacterized. Lineage: Eukaryota; Metazoa; Mollusca; Bivalvia; Myida; Dreissenidae. The record is from RefSeq and is a predicted model, not a curated record. The transcript has 3 exons.